RNAcentral lists this ribosomal RNA (490 nucleotides) under uncultured bacterium. RNAcentral's name for it is "bacterial SSU rRNA". It matches the Rfam family "Bacterial small subunit ribosomal RNA", at positions 34 to 518 of the family's 1533-position model. The record is from RNAcentral.
CGCUGGCGGCGUGCCUAACACAUGCAAGUCGAACGAAGCAUUUGGAGCAGAUCUCUUCGGAGUGACGCACCUUAUGACUUAGUGGCGGACGGGUGAGUAACACGUGAGCAACCUGCCUCUCAGAGUGGAAUAACAGUUGGAAACGGCUGCUAAUACCACAUAACGUUUUUGUGCUGCAUGACACUUCAACCAAAGAUUUAUCGCUGAGAGAUGGGCUCGCGUCCGAUUAGGUAGAUGGUGGGGUAACGGCCUACCAUGCCGACGAUCGGUAGCCGGACUGAGAGGUUGAUCGGCCACAUUGGGACUGAGACACGGCCCAGACUCCUACGGGAGGCAGCAGUGGGGGAUAUUGCACAAUGGGCGCCAAGCCUGAUGCAGCAACGCCGCGUGCGGGAAGACGGCCUUCGGGUUGUAAACCGCUGUCCUUGGGGAAGAAACAAAUGACGGUACCCAAGAAGGAAGCCACGGCUAACUACGUGCCAGCCGCCGC